CUGCUCUCUCUGAAUACACAGCACUUCGCCAGCCGGGAGAGGAAGCAGCAUUUUGAGAGGUCGCUUAUGGUUGUGACCCUGAUCUUCCCGGAUGUCUGAUGCUUCUUUUGAGGCAUUUCAAUGAAGACCAGGCCAAGAUGUUCCUGAAAGUUGAUGAAACUUGUCUGCCAUCGGAAGUUGAUGACCUGUCAAGUGCACCAUGCAUCGUUGGAGUUCUCCCCUGACAGCUGGACACUUCAUGGUCGCCGUCGACCAGACCAUCGUCAAUGGCAGUGUCCCAAAUGUUGUUGACACUGAUGUUUGCACUAUAUUACUGCCUCAACAUCAGCUAUCCCACAGUACUGGGAGGUACCCUGGAGUUCUUGCAGAGGUGCCUUUUCAAAAUCAAUCCGGACAAGGGGACUAAAGUGGAGAGGAAAGCUUCAAAGAAACAGCAGUCAGUCAAUCCGAAGGUGCUUUCAUUGAUCACCAACAUCGCUGACUUUGAAUGGAGAGAGUAACAUCGCACACACAUAGUCACAUACAUAACUGUUAAGAGAGUUUAGUGUUUAUAAUGUUAUGUUUGGCACAAAAUGUUGGCUAAUGUUUAAGGUUUCUUUGCCGGUCUAUUCUGCUUUAUUAUUAUUGUGUUUAUGUGUAUGGAUGUAUGUGUGUAUAUG
Long non-coding RNA from Gymnodraco acuticeps, 659 nucleotides. RefSeq lists it as uncharacterized. The record is from RefSeq and is a predicted model, not a curated record. Lineage: Eukaryota; Metazoa; Chordata; Actinopteri; Perciformes; Bathydraconidae. The transcript has 4 exons.